AUGGGAUGGAGCUGGAUGUUUUUCUUCCUCCUGUCAGCAACUGCAGGUGUGCACUCAGAGGUUCAACUGCAGCAAUCUGAGGCUGAGCUGGUGCAGCCUGGGACUUCAGUUAAGAUUUCCUGCAAGGCUUCUGGCUACACCUUUACCACUUAUAGUAUGCACUGGGUGAAGCAGAAGCCUGGACAGGGUCUAGAAUGGAUUGGAUAUGUUUAUCCUGCAAAUGGUGGUACUAAUUACAAUGAGAAGUUCAAGGGCAAGGCCACACUGACUGCAGACAAAUCCUCCAACACAGCCUACAUGGCACUCAGUAGCCUGACAUCUGAGGACUCUGCAGUCUAUUACUGUGCUAAACACAGUGGUACAGCCACAUCCUGA
This is a non-coding RNA of Grammomys surdaster, 375 nucleotides long. Lineage: Eukaryota; Metazoa; Chordata; Mammalia; Rodentia; Muridae. The record is from the annotation of a RefSeq genome assembly.